This 254-nucleotide ribosomal RNA is filed under the name uncultured bacterium. Its description in RNAcentral is "partial 16S ribosomal RNA". It matches the Rfam family "Bacterial small subunit ribosomal RNA", at positions 524 to 776 of the family's 1533-position model. The record is from RNAcentral.
UACGUAGGGGGCAAGCGUUGUCCGGAUUUAUUGGGCGUAAAGAGCUCGUAGGCGGUUCCGUAAGUCGUGAAGUCAAAUCUCUGGGCUCAACCCAGAAUCGCUUCCGAUACUGCGGUGACUGGAGUCCGGUAGGGGAGUGUGGAAUUCCCGGUGUAGCGGUGAAAUGCGCAGAUAUCGGGAGGAACACCAAUGGCGAAGGCAGCUCGCUGGGACGGUACUGACGCUGAGACGCGAAAGCGUGGGGAGCAAACAGG